GACGAACGCUGGCGGCGUGCUUAACACAUGCAAGUCCCACGGGCCCGCUCUCUUUUUUGGGGGUGGGUUGAGUGGCGAACGGGUGAGUAUCCCGUGAGUAACCUGCCCCCUGCUCCUGGAUAACUGCUUGAAAGGGCGGCUAAUACGGGGUGUGCCGGCUGGUCCGCAUGGGCCUGGUCGGGAUAGUUUCAUCUUCGGGUGUUUCGGUGGGGGAUGGGCUCGCGGCCUAUCAGCUUGUUGGUGGGGUGUUGGCCCACCAAGGCGGUGACGGGUAGCCGGCCUGAGAGGGUGGGCGGCCACACUGGGACUGAGACACGGCCCAGACUCGUGCGGGAGGCAGCAGUGGGGGGUAUUGCACGAUGGGCGGAAGCCUGAUGCAGCGACGUCGCGUGAGGGAUGGAGGCCUUCGGGUUGUGAACCUCUUUCUCCGGUGGUGAAGGCCCUGUCCGUUGCGGCGGGGUUGACGGUAGCCGGGUAUGAAGCGCCGGCUAACUACGU
Molecule: ribosomal RNA, 498 nt
Filed under: uncultured bacterium
Lineage: Bacteria
Description: partial 16S ribosomal RNA
Rfam family: Bacterial small subunit ribosomal RNA
Source: RNAcentral